UACGGGGGGAGCAAGCGUUGUUCGGAUUUACUGGGCGUAAAGGGCGCGUAGGCGGCCUGUUAAGUCGAACGUGAAAUCCCUGGGCUCAACCCAGGAACUGCGUCCGAUACUGGCAGGCUUGAAUCCGGGAGAGGGAUGUGGAAUUCCAGGUGUAGCGGUGAAAUGCGUAGAUAUCUGGAGGAACACCGGUGGCGAAGGCGGCGUCCUGGACCAACACUGACACUGAGGAGCGAAAGCCAGGGGAGCAAACGGG
RNAcentral lists this ribosomal RNA (253 nucleotides) under uncultured bacterium. RNAcentral's name for it is "partial 16S ribosomal RNA". It matches the Rfam family "Bacterial small subunit ribosomal RNA", at positions 524 to 776 of the family's 1533-position model. The record is from RNAcentral.